CAGAGAUGGAUCUCUUCCAGCAAUGGACCUGCACACAGGUGCUGCAUGGCUGUCGUCAGCUCGUGUCGUGAGAUGUUGGGUUAAGUCCCGCAACGAGCGCAACCCUCGCCUUUAGUUGCCAUCAUUCAGUUGGGCACUCUAAAGGGACUGCCGGUGAUAAGCCGCGAGGAAGGUGGGGAUGACGUCAAGUCCUCAUGGCCCUUACGGGCUGGGCUACACACGUGCUACAAUGGCGGUGACAGUGGGAUGCAAAGGGGCGACCCCUCGCAAAUCUCAAAAAGCCGUCUCAGUUCGGAUUGUACUCUGCAACUCGAGUGCAUGAAGUUGGAAUCGCUAGUAAUCGUGGAUCAGCAUGCCACGGUGAAUACGUUCCCGGGCCUU
RNAcentral lists this ribosomal RNA (381 nucleotides) under uncultured Xanthobacter sp. RNAcentral describes it as "bacterial SSU rRNA". It matches the Rfam family "Bacterial small subunit ribosomal RNA", at positions 1001 to 1382 of the family's 1533-position model. Lineage: Bacteria; Pseudomonadati; Pseudomonadota; Alphaproteobacteria; Hyphomicrobiales; Xanthobacteraceae. The record is from RNAcentral.